GCCGCCAUCGUCUAGUGGCCUAGGACACAGGAUUUUCAUUCCUGGAAUCGCGGGUUCGACUCCCGCUGGCGGUA
This 74-nucleotide transfer RNA is filed under the name Candidatus Daviesbacteria bacterium RIFCSPHIGHO2_01_FULL_41_45. Its description in RNAcentral is "tRNA-Glu". It matches the Rfam family "tRNA". From Rfam's summary of the family: Transfer RNA (tRNA) molecules are approximately 80 nucleotides in length. Their secondary structure includes four short double-helical elements and three loops (D, anti-codon, and T loops). Further hydrogen bonds mediate the characteristic L-shaped molecular structure. tRNAs have two regions of fundamental functional importance: the anti-codon, which is responsible for specific mRNA codon recognition, and the 3' end, to which the tRNAs corresponding amino acid is attached (by aminoacyl-tRNA synthetases). tRNAs cope with the degeneracy of the genetic code in two manners: having more than one tRNA (with a specific anti-codon) for a particular amino acid; and 'wobble' base-pairing, i.e. permitting non-standard base-pairing at the 3rd anti-codon position. Lineage: Bacteria; Candidatus Daviesiibacteriota. RNAcentral also lists the same sequence under 3 other names. The record is from RNAcentral.